GAUGAACGCUGGCGGCGUGCCUAAUACAUGCAAGUCGAGCGAACAGACGAGAAGCUUGCUCCUCUGAUGUUAGCGGCGGACGGGUGAGUAACACGUGGAUAACCUACCUAUAAGACUGGGAUAACUUCGGGAAACCGUAGCUAAUACCGUAUAAUAUUUUGAACCGCAUGGUUCAACAGUGAAAGACGGUCUUGCUGUCACUUAUAGAUGGAUCCGCGCUGCAUUAGCUAGUUGGUAAGGUAACGGCUUACCAAGGCAACGAUGCGUAGCCGACCUGAGAGGGUGAUCGGCCACACUGGAACUGAGACACGGUCCAGACUCCUACGGGAGGCAGCAGUAGGGAAUCUUCCGCAAUGGGCGAAAGCCUGACGGAGCAACGCCGCGUGAGUGAAGAAGGUCUUCGGAUCGUAAAACUCUGUUAUUAGGGAAGAACAAAUGUGUAAGUAACUAUGCACGUCUUGACGGUACCUAAUCAGAAAGCCACGGCUAACUACGUG
This 497-nucleotide ribosomal RNA is filed under the name uncultured bacterium. RNAcentral describes it as "partial 16S ribosomal RNA". It matches the Rfam family "Bacterial small subunit ribosomal RNA", at positions 28 to 507 of the family's 1533-position model. The record is from RNAcentral.